This 253-nucleotide ribosomal RNA is filed under the name uncultured bacterium. RNAcentral's name for it is "partial 16S ribosomal RNA". It matches the Rfam family "Bacterial small subunit ribosomal RNA", at positions 524 to 776 of the family's 1533-position model. The record is from RNAcentral.
UACGAAGGGUGCAAGCGUUACUCGGAAUUACUGGGCGUAAAGGGUGCGUAGGUGGUCGUUUAAGUCCGUUGUGAAAUCCCUGGGCUCAACCUGGGAAUGGCAGUGGAUACUGGACGGCUAGAAUGCGGUAGAGGGUAGUGGAAUUCCCGGUGUAGCGGUGAAAUGCGUAGAUAUCGGAAGGAACACCAGUGGCGAAAGCGGCUUCCUGGUCCAGCACCGACGUUCAGGCACGAAAGCGUGGGGAGCAAACAGG